AUACGGAGUGUGCGAGCGUUACUCGGAUUCACUGGGCAUAAAGCGCACGUAGGCGGGUUGCCAAGUCGGCCGUGAAAGCCCCCGGCUCAACCGGGGAAUUGCGACCGAAACUGGCAGCCUUGAGGACGAGAGGGGAGAGCGGAACUUCUGGUGGAGCGGUGAAAUGCGUAGAUAUCAGAAGGAACACCGGUGGCGAAAACGGCUCUCUGGCUCGUUUCUGACGCUGAGGUGCGAAAGCGUGGGGAGCGAACGGGAGUAGAAACCCCAGUAGUCC
Molecule: ribosomal RNA, 274 nt
Filed under: uncultured bacterium
Lineage: Bacteria
Description: partial 16S ribosomal RNA
Rfam family: Bacterial small subunit ribosomal RNA
Source: RNAcentral